This 523-nucleotide ribosomal RNA is filed under the name Caenotropus labyrinthicus. Its description in RNAcentral is "partial 16S ribosomal RNA". It matches the Rfam family "Bacterial large subunit ribosomal RNA", at positions 1848 to 2571 of the family's 2925-position model. The record is from RNAcentral. Lineage: Eukaryota; Metazoa; Chordata; Actinopteri; Characiformes; Chilodontidae.
AGAGGUCCUACCUGCCCAGUGACUAUUUGUUAAACGGCCGCGGUAUUUUGACCGUGCUAAGGUAGCGCAAUCACUUGUCUUUUAAAUGAAGACCUGUAUGAAUGGUGGAACGAGGGCUUAACUGUCUCCCUUCUCUAGUCAAUGAAAUUGAUCUGCCCGUGCAGAAGCGGACAUAUUAAUACAAGACGAGAAGACCCUUUGGAGCUUAAGACAAAAAGCCAACUGUGUAAAAACUCCCACAUAAAAUGAAGUUUAACAAAACAGCAACUGGCCAACGUCUUCGGUUGGGGCGACCGCGGGGGAAAACAAAGCCCCCAUGCAGAAUGGGAUUUUUCCUCAAACCAAGAGAUACAUCUCUAAGUCACAGAACAUCUGACUUAAAGAUCCGGCCCAAAAGCCGAUCAACGGACCAAGUUACCCUAGGGAUAACAGCGCAAUCCCCUUCAAGAGUCCAUAUCGACAAGGGGGUUUACGACCUCGAUGUUGGAUCAGGACAUCCUAAUGGUGCAGCCGCUAUUAAGGG